AACGCACAUUGCGCCUGCUAGUAUUCUGGCAGGCAUGCCUGUUCGAGCGUCAUUUCAACCCUCAGGCCCCUCGUGGUCUGCCGUUGGGGCUGCUCUGCGGCGUUUUGUCGCAGGCCCUGAAGAACAGUGGCGGGCCCGCUGAGACCCCGAGCGUAGUAGAACACACCUCGCUAAGGGAGCCUCGACGGGAUCCUAGCCGUAAAAAAAGGCUGCCGGAGUCUCUCCUGCACCGUGUUUUUUACAAGGUUGACCUCGGAUCAGGUAGGAAUACCCGCUGAACUUAA
This 284-nucleotide unclassified non-coding RNA is filed under the name uncultured fungus. RNAcentral's name for it is "partial contains 5.8S ribosomal RNA, internal transcribed spacer 2, and large subunit ribosomal RNA". The record is from RNAcentral. Lineage: Eukaryota; Fungi.